This 350-nucleotide unclassified non-coding RNA is filed under the name Hevea brasiliensis (rubber tree). Lineage: Eukaryota; Viridiplantae; Streptophyta; Magnoliopsida; Malpighiales; Euphorbiaceae. The record is from RNAcentral.
CCGAGGUCUGCUCGUUACUUGGGCUCUCAAUCAAUGAUCAAUUUGAGGAGAACCCAUUUGAGUUUUGAGCCUAGAAUCCUAAAACAGAGCAUCAAAUGGGAGGGUGGUUGGACAAGGAGUGAAGAUCAUUUGAAGGAGAAGANNNNNACCGAGGGUGCGUGGUGAAGUGUACAGCAGAGAGUAUAGAGAGAGGAAUAUUGAUGGGAGGAAAAGAGGGUGAAAUUAGUAUGGUAUCAGAGAGGUACAAGGUGGUGGCUUUAACGGCGUGCGUUAUGUGCCUUUGUAAUGCUGAUCGUGUUGUUAUGUCUGUCGCUGUUGUUCCUCUUGCUGCCAAAUACGGCUGGGGGCGG